Long non-coding RNA from Ziziphus jujuba (common jujube), 1471 nucleotides. RefSeq lists it as uncharacterized. NCBI's taxonomy places the organism in Eukaryota, Viridiplantae, Streptophyta, Magnoliopsida, Rosales, Rhamnaceae. The record is from RefSeq and is a predicted model, not a curated record. The transcript has 4 exons.
UCGUUGCUUUUAAUUCCUCCAUUUUUUUAUUUAUUUUUAUUUUGUUCAACAAAAUCUUAAUUUUUCACAGAGAACGUUAUCAUCAACUUUGCCUUCCCUCUUUCCUUCCUUCGCUAACUCGGUUGCCUUUGAAACUUGGGUUGGAUCCUUCUCACUGUGCCAUGGGUGAUUAAAGCUUGAUUGGAUUUGUGUUUAUGGUUGUUUUGGAUCAAAUUUUCACAAAGGGGAAAAACUAAUCAAUCCUUCAUUGGAUGACUUUAAGAAGACACCAGAUCCCACUAGCUUACAUUUAGAUGACCCGUUGGUAGUGAAGUGGGUCAAAACCAAUAUCCAAGGGGAACAACCAUAAGGCAUAUAUAUACUCUUUCUAUGGAUUCACAAGAUUCUAAUAACCUCCCAUGCUCUCAACAAUGAUAAUGAAGGUAUAAACGUGAGCAGCUCACUAAAUACUCAACAUGUCAAUAACUCUUCUCAACUCCUUAUACAUAAUUCUAUGCCACAAGCUACCACAACUCAAUUUUCAAACCAAUUUCCUCACUUCUCAUUUCAGCCCAGCUAUCCUUUUAAUCCAAUGAAUGCUUCAUAUUCUUCUCAUGUUAGCCAACAAUUUGGAUCUGGAUUCACCUAUCAGGGUUUAUUGAAUGCUCCUACAAUCCCAUUUGACACUCGAAAUGCUAAUGCAACCAAAGAAUUCAAACAUAAGAGCAAGGCCACCCAAAAGUCUAACUCUCAAAGUUUUGUUUCUAAUAAAAAUUGGACUAAAGCUGAAGAUGUUGCAUUGACAAAGGCAUGACUUUACAUCUCUGUUGAUUCUGAUAUUGGUAAUAGCCAGAAAAAUACAGCAAUGUGGGAUCGUAUUUUACUUACUUGGAAGGACAAUAUGGGGGUGGAAUAUAGCAGUGUUCGAAACACCAAUAGCUUACAAUGUCGUUGGGUAAAAAUACAAGGUGCAGUGAACAAAUUUCAUGGACUAUAUGAGAUAUUGGAAAGAAAUCCACAAAGUGGAACAACCCCAGAAGAUAUGGAUAAAGUAAAAUGGACUUGAAGCUGAAUGGAAUGGAGUUAUGAAUGGUAAAUGAUCUAUAUUGAGGAUGGAAAAGGCUAACGGAAGGAAAUGUUAUGAAGGGAUCGUGCAUAAUCUAUAAGGAUAAUACACGUAUAUUUAAAUGUUGUGCAUUCCUAUUUUGAUGUUCUCCAUCUUUCUUAUGGAAUUUUAGAAGUUGCAGUUGUUAGAAAUCUUUGACAAAGUUUUUUGAACUCGUUGAACUCGUAGAACUUGUAGGUUAUUUGUUGUUUCAUAUUGUUCCCAUUCUAUCUCAUGGUGGCUUAACAUCCAUGGUUUAAGGUUUCUUUGUCAAUGUUCAAAAAACUUACUUUUCAAUGUUCACUUAAACUGUUUGGUAAAUAUGUUCUAGUAGUUCCAAAUUAAAUUUUUAAUGAGUGAAGUUUAUGCAUCAUAUUCAUGUUUUUA